RNAcentral lists this ribosomal RNA (253 nucleotides) under uncultured bacterium. RNAcentral describes it as "partial 16S ribosomal RNA". It matches the Rfam family "Bacterial small subunit ribosomal RNA", at positions 524 to 776 of the family's 1533-position model. The record is from RNAcentral.
UACGAAGGGUGCAAACGUUGCUCGGAAUUAUUGGGCGUAAAGCGCACGUAGGCGGCUAUCUAAGUCGGAUGUGAAAUCUCGGAGCUUAACUCCGAAACUGCAUUCGAUACUGCCGUGCUUGAGGACUGGAGAGGAGACUGGAAUUUACGGUGUAGCGGUGAAAUGCGUAGAUAUCGUAAGGAAGACCAGUGGCGAAGGCGGGUCUCUGGACAGUUCCUGACGCUGAGGCACGAAGGCCAGGGGAGCAAACGGG